GUGGAUUAGAUACCCUGGUAGUCCACGCCGUAAACGAUGGAUACUUGUUGUUGGAGGUAUUGACCCCUUCAGUGACGAAGCUAACGCGUUAAGUAUCCCGCCUGGGGAGUACGGUCGCAAGAUUAAAACUCAAAGAAAUUGACGGGGGCCCGCACAAGCGGUGGAGUAUGUGGUUUAAUUCGAUGCAACGCGAAAAACCUUACCUGGGUUUGACAUGAACUGGAAGAGUGGCAGAGAUGUCCUCGCUCGCAAGAGUCGGUUCACAGGUGCUGCACGGCUGUCGUCAGCU
This 289-nucleotide ribosomal RNA is filed under the name uncultured bacterium. RNAcentral's name for it is "partial 16S ribosomal RNA". It matches the Rfam family "Bacterial small subunit ribosomal RNA", at positions 773 to 1060 of the family's 1533-position model. The record is from RNAcentral.